RNAcentral lists this ribosomal RNA (301 nucleotides) under uncultured bacterium. RNAcentral's name for it is "partial 16S ribosomal RNA". It matches the Rfam family "Bacterial small subunit ribosomal RNA", at positions 509 to 809 of the family's 1533-position model. The record is from RNAcentral.
CAGUCGCCGCGGUAAUACGUAGGGUGCAAGCGUUGUCCGGAAUUAUUGGGCGUAAAGAGCUCGUAGGCGGUCUGUCGCGUCGGCUGUGAAACCCUGAGGCUCAACCUCAGGCCUGCAGUCGAUACGGGCAGACUAGAGUGCAGUAGGGGAGACUGGAAUUCCUGGUGUAGCGGUGAAAUGCGCAGAUAUCAGGAGGAACACCGGUGGCGAAGGCAGGUCUCUGGGCCGCAACUGACGCUGAGGAGCGAAAGCAUGGGGAGCGAACAGGAUUAGAUACCCCCGUAGUCCCUGUCUCUUAUAA